UACGUAGGUGGCGAGCGUUAUCCGGAUUUACUGGGUGUAAAGGGCGUGUAGGUGGCUCUGCAAGUCAGAUGUGAAAUUUCCGGGCUUAACCCGGACGGGUCAUCUGAAACUGCAGGACUUGAGUACUGGAGAGGAUAGCGGAAUUCCUAGUGUAGCGGUAAAAUGCGUAGAUAUUAGGAGGAACACCGGUGGCGAAGGCGGCUAUCUGGACUGUAACUGACACUGAGGCACGAAAGCGUGGGGAGCAAACAGGAUUAGAUACCCUGGUAGU
RNAcentral lists this ribosomal RNA (271 nucleotides) under uncultured prokaryote. RNAcentral's name for it is "partial 16S ribosomal RNA". It matches the Rfam family "Bacterial small subunit ribosomal RNA", at positions 524 to 794 of the family's 1533-position model. The record is from RNAcentral.